This 775-nucleotide ribosomal RNA is filed under the name uncultured Neocallimastigales. RNAcentral describes it as "partial large subunit ribosomal RNA". It matches the Rfam family "Eukaryotic large subunit ribosomal RNA", at positions 26 to 643 of the family's 3401-position model. The record is from RNAcentral. Lineage: Eukaryota; Fungi; Neocallimastigomycota; Neocallimastigomycetes; Neocallimastigales.
CGUCUAUAUACGUAUAGCAUAUCAAUAAGCGGAGGAAAAGAAACUAACAAGGAUUCCCUUAGUAACGGCGAGUGAAGCGGGAAGAGCUCAAAUUUGAAAUCUUCAAGGUUUUACCUUGACGAAUUGUAGUUUAAAGAAGUGUUUUCUGUUGAGAGUUUUGGUAAAAGUUCUUUGGAAUAGGACAUCAUAGAGGGUGAGAAUCCCGUAUUUGACCAUUAUUUUCAGCUGUGUGAUACACUUUCAAAGAGUCGGAUUGUUUGGGAAUGCAGUCCAAAAUGGGUGGUAAAUUUCAUCUAAAGCUAAAUAUUGGCGAGAGACCGAUAGCGAACAAGUACCGUGAGGGAAAGAUGAAAAGAACUUUGAAAAGAGAGUUAAACAGUACGUGAAAUUGUCAAAAGGGAAGCGUUUGACACCAGUGUUGUUUUUCCGAAAAUCAAUUACGAAUGUUUUGUUUUUGAGAAGUUAUGACUUCAUCGGCUUGCUUCUCUCUUUACGAAACUUUCUUAAUGCACUUUUCGGUUAACAAGUCAACAUCAAUUUCUUUUGUUGUAAAAGGGUAUGAGGAAGGUGGCUUUCUUUUCGGAGAAAGUGUUUAUAGCCUUGUACCUCUGCAAUCGGAGAGAUUGAGGUCUGCAGCGUAGAUCCUUCGGGGUUAGAUACAUUUGUGCUAAGUUAUAGCUUUUCAUAGACAACUUGUUGACUAUGUUAAGUCUUGUAGCUUACUCGCUUAUGCUAUUUUACCUACGCUUAGGAUGUUGAUAUGCAUGACUGAUAU